GGUUAAGCGACUAAGCGUACACGGUGGAUGCCCUGGCAGUCAGAGGCGAUGAAGGACGUGCUAAUCUGCGAUAAGCGCCGGUAAGGUGAUAUGAACCGUUAUAACCGGCGAUUUCCGAAUGGGGAAACCCAGUGUGACUCGUCACACUAUCAUUAACUGAAUCCAUAGGUUAAUGAGGCGAACCGGGGGAACUGAAACAUCUAAGUACCCCGAGGAAAAGAAAUCAACCGAGAUUCCCCCAGUAGCGGCGAGCGAACGGGGAGGAGCCCAGAGCCUGAAUCAGCAUGUGUGUUAGUGGAAGCGUCUGGAAAGGCGCGCGAUACAGGGUGACAGCCCCGUACACAAAAGCGCAUGUGCUGUGAGCUCGAUGAGUAGGGCGGGACACGUGGUAUCCUGUCUGAAUAUGGGGGGACCAUCCUCCAAGGCUAAAUACUCCUGACUGACCGAUAGUGAACCAGUACCGUGAGGGAAAGGCGAAAAGAACCCCGGCGAGGGGAGUGAAAAAGAACCUGAAACCGUGUACGUACAAGCAGUGGGAG
RNAcentral lists this ribosomal RNA (539 nucleotides) under Salmonella enterica subsp. enterica serovar Montevideo str. IA_2010008284. Its description in RNAcentral is "bacterial LSU rRNA". It matches the Rfam family "Bacterial large subunit ribosomal RNA", at positions 1 to 579 of the family's 2925-position model. The record is from RNAcentral. RNAcentral also lists the same sequence under 2 other names. Lineage: Bacteria; Pseudomonadati; Pseudomonadota; Gammaproteobacteria; Enterobacterales; Enterobacteriaceae.